CAGGGAGACAACGAAAUGUUUAAUAUUAUUAUUUUGUCACCUUAGGUCGAUCGGUAUCUCACAUUCUUAAUAUAUUAAGGAUUUUAUUUCCUAAGUUUUUUCUAGGUCACACCCAUUACUUUUCCUGGGCCAUUAGCUCAGGUGGUUAGAGCGCACCCCUGAUAAGGGUGAGGUCCCUGGUUCAAGUCCAGGAUGGCCCAUAUCUCUAUGUUGGGGGUAUAGCUCAGUUGGUAGAGCGCCUGCUUUGCAAGCAGGAUGUCAGCGGUUCGAGUCCGCUUACCUCCACUGAUUACCACCUCUUCCAUAAUUAUUAAGGAAAUGUUUUGAGUAGUGAUCAAAUUCUGAACGAAUCUAGCUUCCUAAUGAAUUCAUUAAGAUGCUGGACUCAUUGAAUUAUUUUCAUUGUUUUCAGAGAACCUUGACAACUGCAUAGAUUAUUUUUAAAGACAAUAAGCAUCUUUAUGAUGCAGAUUUAUUAUUUGUGCGAAUGCAUUAAUAACAAUUCUAUUAAGCUGAUGCUUUAAUUAUGAAGUUAUU
RNAcentral lists this transfer RNA (537 nucleotides) under uncultured Prochlorococcus sp. RNAcentral's name for it is "partial 16S-23S ribosomal RNA intergenic spacer". The stretch from base 213 to 285 matches the Rfam family "tRNA". Lineage: Bacteria; Bacillati; Cyanobacteriota; Cyanophyceae; Synechococcales; Prochlorococcaceae. The record is from RNAcentral.